This 433-nucleotide ribosomal RNA is filed under the name uncultured bacterium. RNAcentral describes it as "partial 16S ribosomal RNA". It matches the Rfam family "Bacterial small subunit ribosomal RNA", at positions 29 to 507 of the family's 1533-position model. The record is from RNAcentral.
AACGAACGCUGGCGGCAUGCCUAACACAUGCAAGUCGAACGAGACCUUCGGGUCUAGUGGCGCACGGGUGCGUAACGCGUGGGAACCUGCCCUUAGGUUCGGAAUAACUCCCCGAAAGGGGUGCUAAUACCGGAUAAUGUCUUCGGACCAAAGAUUUAUGGCGUUUGGAUGGGCCCGGGUUGGAUUAGCUAGUUGGUAGGGUAAAAGCCUACCAAGGCGACGAUCCAUAGCUGGUCGGGGAGGAUGACCAGCCACACUGGGACUGAGGCACGGCCCAGACCGGGACGGAGGGGAGCGGAGGGGAGUAGUGGGGGAGGGGCGAAAGCGUGAUACCGCAGUGUCCGGGAAGUGAGGAAGGCGGUAGGGUUGUAAAGCUCUUUGAGACGGGGUGAUAAUGACGGUACCGGGUGAAUAAGCUCCGGCUAACUACGUG